Molecule: transfer RNA, 73 nt
Filed under: Ictidomys tridecemlineatus (thirteen-lined ground squirrel)
Lineage: Eukaryota; Metazoa; Chordata; Mammalia; Rodentia; Sciuridae
Description: Spermophilus tridecemlineatus (thirteen-lined ground squirrel) tRNA
Rfam family: tRNA
About the family: Transfer RNA (tRNA) molecules are approximately 80 nucleotides in length.
Source: Rfam by way of RNAcentral
UGGGAUAUAGCUCAGUUGGUAUAGUACUUGCCUUGCAUGCAUAAGGUCCUGGGUUCAAUCCCCAGAACCACAC